UUUGUUUAUUUAUCUGGCAGCCCUGAUGAUUAGGAGUGUUUCCUGGAUUACUUAGGCUGUUUGCUCGAGGAUGACAGUAGCUGGUGUAAUGGUGCUGAUAGUGAUCCAAUUCAUCCAUCAAAAUCUGUGGACUGCAAGCUUGCGCACUUGUCAGAUGAAGUGUUUGAUUCUCAUAUAUUAAUUGCGCCAGCUUUUGUACAAAAGUUAUUCGCAGAAGCCAGUACUGACUCUGCAAGAUGUCCAUACUUGGCAAAUCUUGAGAUUGAAAGGAGGAAAUUCUUGUUUGGAAAGGGAGAUGAUGACAAACUAAUCGAGGCUCUAAUGCAAUAUUUUUUCAGUUCCAGGUCUGAGAUGUACGCCUUAUAAUGGACCGCAAUUCAAGUCAUUCCAAGAGAGUUGGUUAUAUUGAAUUUUUUGAUGCAAUGCCAGUCCCUAUGGCAAUAGCACUCUCUAGCCAGCCUCUUCUUGGUUAGCCAGUAAUGGUUAAACCAUCAGAAGCUGAAAAAAAUCUGGUUCAGUCUACUACAGCCACAGCUGGGGCUGUAGGUGGGCUCAUAGGCCCCUAUUUGGGGGGAGCUAGAAGAGUAUGUUCCUUUCUAUUGAGGUAAGAAACAUCUUCUAUUCCUUUCUUAUGCUUUUUCUUAUACAUGGCUGUGUUGCUGCAACAUUGUGUCCUUGCUGCCCAGGUGAAGAAACCACACUGGUUGUCUUACCCAUGUGCUACCACUGUCCAUGU
Non-coding RNA from Camellia sinensis, 736 nucleotides. Lineage: Eukaryota; Viridiplantae; Streptophyta; Magnoliopsida; Ericales; Theaceae. The record is from RefSeq and is a predicted model, not a curated record.